UUAGUGUUUUUCGUGUUCCAUACAAUUUAUUAUUCAUUAAGCUAAAUUAUGUGAAGAAUAAAAAUAUUUUUAUUUUUAUAAACAUGUUUUUCAUGUAUUUUCCCACAAACCCUUUACCCACCAACUUCCAAAAACUCAAAACAUUUAGAAAUAGGACUUAAGAAUGUUUUAAAUUAAGUCCAAGACUCAAAAAUAAACAUGACUUCCAGUUAUUUACUAUUUCAGACAGAAUAUGUACAUAGCCAUUUAGAGAAUGUUUUGAGACAAGUUCACAUAAUUCUGGAGGCUCUGUCAGAAGUCUAACUUCAUAGUUUCAGAGCCCUUUUACAGAUUGGUUCUGGUGAGUUUCAAUACAGAUUUUAAGAUCUCAUUAUAUAAAAUACGGAUGCCUCCUCUUUUUUUUUUCGCAUUGAUUUUGUACUUUCAGAGAUAUCUUCCUUUGAUUAAGGUGCUAUCAGGAGAUAGUGAAAGACCAUAACCAAGUAGCUAGUAAAUGCAAAGGCAAAGUGACUUUCAGUGAAACACACAACCCUUA
Molecule: long non-coding RNA, 535 nt
Filed under: Homo sapiens (human)
Lineage: Eukaryota; Metazoa; Chordata; Mammalia; Primates; Hominidae
Description: HSALNT0034402
Source: RNAcentral